Molecule: long non-coding RNA, 3350 nt
Organism: Amblyraja radiata (thorny skate)
Lineage: Eukaryota; Metazoa; Chordata; Chondrichthyes; Rajiformes; Rajidae
Exons: 3
Source: RefSeq, a predicted model, not a curated record
CGUCCUACACACUAGGGACGAUUUGAAAUUGUACUGAAGCCGAUUAACCUACAAAUCUGCACGUCUCUGGAGUGGGCAGAAGCUGGAGCACGGGGGGGGGGGGGGUGACCUACACAGUCACAAGGAGAACGUACAAACUCCGUACAGGCAACACCCAUAGUCAAGAUCGAACCUGGGUCUCUGGCGUGGUAAGGCAGCAACUCUACCGCUGCGCCACUGUGCUGUCUUCUCCACAUGACCAUUUAUGUGUUCUGGCUGGUGUAGCUAAUUAGCUGAGCGUUCAUGUUUACUGCAGUUGCUGCGUGCUAACUGCAGCUUGCCAUGGGGCAAUUAGUAGCGAGUUAUUUACUCCCACAGUGUCUUCUUUUGGCAGCAGUUGCAACAGAUGCCGCAUGACAAGUGGGACCCGUUCCCUUGCCUGACCUCUGGUCUCUCUGUUCCUUACCGAGCUGGACACUGGCCCGCUGGGUCUCAGUAGUAUUUUCAACCCUGCAAUUGCAUCAUCAUAGUUUAAUGUUUCCCAGUAAGGUCUGAGCGAUGGAAGGGGGAGAGGAAAGGGACAGUGAAGUCAGUACCCGUUUGCAGAACUUUCAUUUGGUUUGACCCACUUGCUGAUUUUAUCUCUUGGUGCACAGAUUUAGAGAUGUGGACCACAGACUGCCUUGAGUCACAGGGCGGGCUGGUGUCAUGAAGUGCACAGCCACAGUAGAAAGGAAACCAGACCUUUUUUUUUAAAUUCCUGCAGCCAAUAUUACUUGAGGUGUCCUGUCUCUGUUAACCACAGUUCUCACUUACUCAAACUUGUUAAAUUAAUUUUUAAAAAAAAAUAAUAAUCGGGACCUGCAUUUGCUUCAGUUCCAAGAUUAAGGUGAUUGUUGGAAUUAAAAUAUUUCUCCCUUCGUCCCAUUCUCCUGCCUUCUCCACAUAGCCCCUGACACCCUUAACAUUUGUGGCAUAAUGUGAAAGCGAGCAGUGUAUCUACUAAAGCCGCUGUAGUAACAUCCCUUGACCCGCACUGAAGAUUACAGGCUUGUGUGCAAAUCCGGCGCUCUGAAUACCUGUGGUGUUUUGCCCUCGAACCAUGCCUGGGAAAGUGGCCGAAGUUCUUCAAACGUGCUAAAUGCAGAACGCGUGAAGAGCCGAUAUCAUGAGCGUUUAUUUUUGGAGCUUCAAUGAAUCGUGUGCCAUCUUGAUCGCUGGUGCUAAAUCUGGUGGUGACUGUCAUGUCAAGCCUCCUUAUGGAUUUGCACCUUUAAAGCAGCCUGCUAUGCUGCAAGGAUGUGUUGAUCUGCUUCAUAUCCCUUACAAACUGGGUAACCGGAGCCCACUUGAGUACUAUAGAUAGAAUGCUGUUUGUUUUUAAUGGGCAUGCUGUUUGGGGUGCUACUUAGAGGUGGUAGGUGAUUUAUGUUGGGCUAGGAUGUUUUUUCCCCUUCACACUGCUGCACAAGCAUGGGAAAGUCUAUAAAUCAUAUUGUGGAGCGGAGCAUGGUUCCAAGGUUUUUCACCGUACCUCUGUACACGUGGCAAUAAACUUCACCAGCAGAUCCUGUAGUGACUCCUUUAGCGGAAUCUAUUAGGGCUGCACAGGGGUGGAGCUACUGCCUCAGGACCAGAGACAUAGGUUCGAUCCUGACUAUAGGCACUCUGUGUGGAGUUUGCACGUUCUCCCUCUGACCACAUGGGUUUCCUCCGGGUGCUCCGGUUUCCUCGCACAUUCCAAAGAUGUGCAGGUUUGUAGGUAAUUUGCCCCAAAUAUGUGGGAUGACAUAGAGCUAAUGUGCUGAAGGACCUUUGUCCACACUGCAUCACUAAACUAUCAUUGUAAGCGAAUGUCCUGCAGACUUGCACCUGGUUCAGGCUUGAAGAAGUCCUUGGUGUUCAGGGUGUAGUACCGUGGGUUGCUUUAAAGGUGCAUGGUAUAAUCUGCAGCGUGCGGCGGUCAGCCGUGCUUCCCCACCCACCCACCCACACAGCUUGUCACCACACCCACCCAACCUGAAGUGACAUUGGAACGCUGCCUAAAGUGAUCCCCUGGGAAGUAUGGCACCUUGUACUUGUCAACAGCUGCAGGUUGUAUUGUAAUGAAGGCAAUUAAUAGACUCUUGCCUUUACACAGCCCGUGUCCUUGUGUGCUCUCUUUAAUAUAAUCCCGCCCACAACAACCGCUGCCUUCACCUCCUGACAAUAACUCUCAGCUUGAGAUUCUCCAUAAUUCACUAGAAUUUAUUCAUGGGCAACUCGUAUCUGACCUAGCUUUGACUCCGGACAUUAGAGAGAGAGAGAGCAGCGUGCAGACGGCCCCUUCGACCCACCGACUCCGUGUUGGCCAGCGAUCACCCUGUAACAUUGGCCGCAAGAAUUCAGGUUACCAGCCUCUGUCAAAUGGCCGCCUGUGAAUCCCUAUCACAAGACCUAGUGCGGGAGUAACUCGGCAGGUUCGGCAGCAUCCGUGGAGCACGUGGAUAGGUGACAUUUUGGGGUGGGACCCUCCUUCAGACAGCUUGUGGGGAGGGGGUGAGAGAAAGCUGGUAAAGAGUAGGGGCAGGACGGAGCUGGCAAGCAGUUGGUGGAUACAGGUGAGGGCUGAUGGUUGGACAAAGGCCUAAGAUGAAAAGACAGGAGGUGGUGGGAGGCAAAAGGAUUGGAGAGUUAUGAAUUUAUCAUAAUUUCCUUUAAGAGGCCACUGAAGAGGUUGGAGAGGGGUGGGUGUCUGAUUACGGGUGUCUGAUUACUGUUGUCACGUGCCGAGGUGUUUUUGGAUCGUGAUGGCUGUGUGCGUACAGUGAUCAGAGACUGGGAGAAGUUGUAUCCUAGUUACUUGUGACUUCGUCCUGAUGGUGCAAUAGGUUACGGGUGGAAUUAAAACCAAUGGGGGGGGGGGGGGGGGGAGUGGUCCUGGAUGGUGUACAAACUGCAGUAUUAGUUGAUCAAAGAAUAAGUAACAUUUGGCUUUUGGGGCAGUGGUAAUUUGGGUCAAUUGAACUGAAACUCUAGGAGGAGGGCUGGUGAUUUGUUUCCCUGGUGUCCACGUCAGUUUGUGUUAUUUGAAGGGUGUGCGAUAAAGUCUCUGAUCAUUCCGUUAUUCCUUUAUCCUGUGCUCUGCAAACGGCUUGAUUGUCAUCGUGUGUAGUCUUUCCGCUGGCUGGUUAGCACACGACAAAGGCUUUUCACUAUACCUCUGUACACAUGUCAAACUUAAACUGAGUCGGUCUGGUGCAAUAUCUGUCCUCUGGCCCAUCAAUUUUAAACUUUCCUCUUACAUUAAGUUUGGGAUCCGAAGCGUUGAAUUAUUCAUCCUCUCUUUUCCCAUUACUUGACUUUAAAUCCAUUGUUUGUUUAAGAAGGAA